AACAAAACGCUGGCGGCGUGCCUAACACAUGCAAGUCGUACGAGAAAGGGUCCUUCGGGACCUGAGUAAAGUGGCGCACGGGUGAGUAGCGCGUGGAUAAUCUACCCUUCAGUUGGGAACAACUCAUCGAAAGGUGGGCUAAUACCGAAUAAUACUACUCGACCUUGGUCGAGCAGCCAAAAGAGAGCCUCUGCUUGCAAGCCCUCGCUGAAGGAUGAGUUCGCGUACCAUUAGCUUGUUGGUAGGGUAAUGGCCUACCAAGGCGACGAUGGUUAGCUGGUCUGAGAGGAUGAUCAGCCACACUGGAACUGAGACACGGUCCAGACUCCUACGGGAGGCAGCAGUGAGGAAUCUUGCGCAAUGGGGAAACCCUGACCCAGCGACGCCGCGUGAGGGAAGAAGGUUUUCGGAUUGUAAACCUCUGUUCUUGGUGAAGAGGGGAAGACGGUAGCCAAGGAGGAAGCCCCGGCUAACUACGUGCCAGCAGCCGCGGUAAGCUAGUCU
Molecule: ribosomal RNA, 504 nt
Filed under: uncultured bacterium
Lineage: Bacteria
Description: bacterial SSU rRNA
Rfam family: Bacterial small subunit ribosomal RNA
Source: RNAcentral